UAGGGAAGAAAUCUUCUAUGACCAUCAAACCAACACGUCUUCCUUCCAUUCGGUAGGUAAUAAGACUUUGUAUAAUCCAUGCAAACUGGAAAAGACAAUUUACCAUGGGUGGUCCAUCCAGAUAACAUGCCGUACGACAGAAAGUCGCUUAUCGUCCACUGCUUUUAAGUUAAAAUUUUGACUCAACGACACGUCGUAUGCAUCGACUCCAGUAGACCACAACUCUUUUAACUCCUCAAUAAGUGGUUGAAGAAAGAUAUCAAAACUAGCUCACGGAUGAUUAGUCCCUGAAUUCAGAAUUGUACGAAAAAAUUACUCUAUAUCCAUGCACAUACCAGAGGGUAGAUUAUAUGGAGUUAAGAUCACAUGCCAUAACGAAUGAUUA
This 385-nucleotide long non-coding RNA is filed under the name Capsella grandiflora. RNAcentral's name for it is "long non-coding RNA (CGRA_LNC001463)". Lineage: Eukaryota; Viridiplantae; Streptophyta; Magnoliopsida; Brassicales; Brassicaceae. The record is from RNAcentral.